RNAcentral lists this ribosomal RNA (444 nucleotides) under Pseudoalteromonas agarivorans. RNAcentral's name for it is "bacterial SSU rRNA". It matches the Rfam family "Bacterial small subunit ribosomal RNA", at positions 69 to 512 of the family's 1533-position model. The record is from RNAcentral. Lineage: Bacteria; Pseudomonadati; Pseudomonadota; Gammaproteobacteria; Alteromonadales; Pseudoalteromonadaceae.
CAGAGAGUAGCUUGCUACUUUGCUGACGAGCGGCGGACGGGUGAGUAAUGCUUGGGAACAUGCCUUGAGGUGGGGGACAACAGUUGGAAACGACUGCUAAUACCGCAUAAUGUCUACGGACCAAAGGGGGCUUCGGCUCUCGCCUUUAGAUUGGCCCAAGUGGGAUUAGCUAGUUGGUGAGGUAAUGGCUCACCAAGGCGACGAUCCCUAGCUGGUUUGAGAGGAUGAUCAGCCACACUGGGACUGAGACACGGCCCAGACUCCUACGGGAGGCAGCAGUGGGGAAUAUUGCACAAUGGGCGCAAGCCUGAUGCAGCCAUGCCGCGUGUGUGAAGAAGGCCUUCGGGUUGUAAAGCACUUUCAGUCAGGAGGAAAGGUUAGUAGUUAAUACCUGCUAGCUGUGACGUUACUGACAGAAGAAGCACCGGCUAACUCCGUGCCAGC